Long non-coding RNA from Trichoplusia ni (cabbage looper), 1876 nucleotides. RefSeq lists it as uncharacterized. The transcript has 9 exons. The record is from RefSeq and is a predicted model, not a curated record. Lineage: Eukaryota; Metazoa; Arthropoda; Insecta; Lepidoptera; Noctuidae.
UAGGCCAUCGAUAAAAAAUAAUUAUUUAUUUCACUUCUAUCAAUUUUCGUACAGUCAGCUUGCCUAGACUUCAAAGCUAAGAUAAAGCUUGUAAAUCGGGAGCUUAAGUAAAGAAGAAUGCCUGAUCUGCCAUUAACUUCGCCGAAACCAUAAUUAAUUCAAAAUUCUUUUAGAACCUUCUUCGAGUAUUAUCCAAAGAGAAGUACAAAGACGAAAGCAAGUCCUGCCUAGGAAAAUCUGUCAAACCAUUGCCUUGCAAUGUCGUAAAUCAGCAUCGUAAAUUUAUUACAAACCGUUAUAACCGAAAUAUGUAGCCCAAACGAAUCAUCUAAAUAGUACGCAUCCAUUCAACCACUAUAAAUCCGCAUUUAACGUCUUUCCGUGAUUGUUUUAGGUCAGAAUGCAUAACACAUAGGCACGUAGGUACUUCUAAGGUUGACCAUGGGUGAAGACAACGAGCUUUCUUGGAGUGAAUAUUACGAAACCUUCAAUGGAAAAUUAGAAAUAUGUCUUGUUGACCUGCUUUUUAAUUCAGGUUACGGUCUCAUAGGUGGGACUAUCCUCUCGAGGUAUUAUCUCUGCAAUCGCAGGUGGCCGCAUAUAACCGGUAUCGCCGUUGGCGUUUGUAUCACCUACUUCAAGAGUUGCAGGUUUCUUUUCGACGACGAAUGAAACUACUUUAUUCAUCCUAUAACUAAAGACCCGGUAACAGGUACAACUACUUAUGAUAUAAGCUACCUACUUACCUAAGCAUAUAAAUAAUGCCUGAUGAAGAAAACGACGAUAUAAUUUCAAGAAUUGAUGACUGUAUGACGCACAUGGUUUUCAAAUCAGGUCUUGGUUACUUGGUUGGACAACUACUGGUAAGAUACUACUUAAAGGGCCAACGAUGGCCUCCAAUCGUUGGAAUUGCUGUGGGCGCAAGUCAUGCUUGGAUUCACUGCAGAAUAUUGGACAUAUACCGACCUAGAGCCGCCGCGGCUGAGGCCAAGGCUGAAGUAAGUGAACAAAAAGCGUGUGCUCGCGAGUGCCCAAAGUGAGCGAGUAUGGCUAAAAUUGCAGUCCAAACUAAGAAUUAAAAAUAUUGAUUUUUGGGCAAUUGCUCAUUAUACAAAUGGAUGCAAAUGAUAAAAAGUUCUCAAAGGACGAAAGCUUCUUUCAAAGAUUUGACCUUUGCAUGACAGAUAUUGUUUUCAAAUCAGGAUUCGGGCUAAUCGUCGGCAAUCUGUUAGAAAAAUGCUACUUCAUCGGCCAUCGAUGGCCACCUAUCGUUGGCGUAGCUGUAGGCAUGAGCCACGCUUGGGCUCUUUGCAGAGUAACUACUUUAUACAAACCCAAUGCCCCUUGUGCCAUCGAUGAACCGAUUUAUACAGAUGAGGUACAGGAGGCUAUGCCGGAAGGUUUAUGAAUUUAAAAAAGUGAAAUGAAAAAGACGUGCCGUGAAUAACAAUACCAGUGGGAGUCAAAGUUAAAAUAAAAUAAGAAAACCAUAAUGCUGGAAACUUUCCUACUAUAAGUUGCUCACGUUUGAUGGCAAUGCAAGUGAGGGUGUGUCGCGGCAGGAAUGUGGCCGCAGCGUGCGGCGCUCGCAAGGCACAUUUCUGCCGCACUCUAGCAAGAAAUAAACCGAAGAAAGUUUGGGUGGCAUAUUCGAUACCGAACCAUAUAAAAUUAGUUUUUGGUUUAGGUACAUAAAAGUUUAUUUGUGCUUGUAAUUGAAAACCUAAAGAUAAACGUUCAAUACCUACGCUGAUAAUUCAAAGUCUCAAUUUUUAGCAAACGCAAUAAAUAAUAAAGAUGGAGCAAUCAUCAGUGAGAAUUAAUCUAUUUAUACGUAGAAAAAUACCUAAAAAUGAAUAAAAAUACUAAUUACCAA